RNAcentral lists this non-coding RNA (21 nucleotides) under Rattus norvegicus (Norway rat). The record is from RNAcentral. Lineage: Eukaryota; Metazoa; Chordata; Mammalia; Rodentia; Muridae.
UAGGACAUCUUUGAGAGUCUA